RNAcentral lists this long non-coding RNA (361 nucleotides) under Phoenix dactylifera (date palm). RNAcentral's name for it is "long non-coding RNA (PDAC_LNC010654)". The record is from RNAcentral. Lineage: Eukaryota; Viridiplantae; Streptophyta; Magnoliopsida; Arecales; Arecaceae.
UGCUAAAUAAUGCAUAAAUUAAUAUCUUAUUCAUAGCACUUAUCAUUAUUUUAAUUUACAUAUUUUAUAAAUUCAACUAAAAAAUGUAUUACCUUCACCAGUGCAUUUUAAUGAAUUUUCCAAGGUAAUUCAAGUUUGAUUUGAUUAUUUAUUGAUUAAGUUUAAUGCAUGCAGGUCAAGUCAAACUCAAUUGGGUAAAGCCUAAAUGGACACUACAUCAUUUCACAAUUUUAUAUUUUCCAGAGUCGACUCCAAGAAUUCUUUUCCAAAAUUCAGUGCUUUUCAAGUUCACCUAAAUUUCUUCCCACUCGUUCCAACUCUUUUUCCACACAACCCAAUUUUCCUAUUUUAAUCUCAAAAA